UUUUGAUUUAUUUUAAAUAUUUAUUUUGAUUAAUGUAUUUAUUUGGUUUUAAUUAAUUCAAUUUGUUAAUUAGGGGUUGGUUAUUGAUUUUCCCACUUGAAUCUUGACCUAUUAUUUUGUACACUUUUAGACACAUGAACAUAGGCCAUUUAGGUUUUCAAUUGACUUAAAGGUUAUUAAUUUUAGAUUAUUUUUUAGCCUUAUCUUGAAGUUGGUUUGGUUUGAUCAACCAUUGAUGAAUUUC
This 244-nucleotide long non-coding RNA is filed under the name Lathyrus oleraceus (garden pea). RNAcentral describes it as "Pisum sativum (pea) long non-coding RNA (PSAT_LNC017470)". The record is from RNAcentral. Lineage: Eukaryota; Viridiplantae; Streptophyta; Magnoliopsida; Fabales; Fabaceae.